UAGUGUCCCUACCUUCUCGUGCAGGUCGGCGAGGUGGCUGAGCGCCCGGGAGAGCGGCGCGUGCGGGUCGGCGCCGGACAGCGCGGCGGCGGCGCGCGCCGUGUCGUUGUCCCUACCUUCUCGUGCAGGUCGGCGAGGUGGCUGAGCGCCCGGGAGAGCGGCGCGUGCGGGUCGGCGCCGGACAGCGCGGCGGCGGCGCGCGCCGUGUCGUUGUCCCUACCUUCUCGUGCAGGUCGGCGAGGUGGCUGAGCGCCCGGGAGAGCGGCGCGUGCGGGUCGGCGCCGGACAGCGCGGCGGCGGCGCGCGCCGUGUCGUUGUCCCUACCUUCUCGUGCAGGUCGGCGAGGUGGCUGAGCGCCCGGGAGAGCGGCGCGUGCGGGUCGGCGCCGGACAGCGCGGCGGCGGCGCGCGCCGUGUCGUUGUCCCUACCUUCUCGUGCAGGUCGGCGAGGUGGCUGAGCGCCCGGGAGAGCGGCGCGUGCGGGUCGGCGCCGGACAGCGCGGCGGCGGCGCGCGCCGUGUCGUUGUCCCUACCUUCUCGUGCAGGUCGGCGAGGUGGCUGAGCGCCCGGGAGAGCGGCGCGUGCGGGUCGGCGCCGGACAGCGCGGCGGCGGCGCGCGCCGUGUCGUUGUCCCUACCUUCUCGUGCAGGUCGGCGAGGUGGCUGAGCGCCCGGGAGAGCGGCGCGUGCGGGUCGGCGCCGGACAGCGCGGCGGCGGCGCGCGCCGUGUCGUUGUCCCUACCUUCUCGUGCAGGUCGGCGAGGUGGCUGAGCGCCCGGGAGAGCGGCGCGUGCGGGUCGGCGCCGGACAGCGCGGCGGCGGCGCG
This is a long non-coding RNA of Cydia strobilella, 824 nucleotides long. RefSeq lists it as uncharacterized. NCBI's taxonomy places the organism in Eukaryota, Metazoa, Arthropoda, Insecta, Lepidoptera, Tortricidae. The transcript is spliced from 8 exons. The record is from RefSeq and is a predicted model, not a curated record.